GAUGAAGAACGCAGCGAAAUGCGAUAAGUAAUGUGAAUUGCAGAAUUCAGUGAAUCAUCGAAUCUUUGAACGCACAUUGCGCCCGUCAGUAUACUGGCGGGCAUGCCUGUUCGAGCGUCAUUACGCCCCUCAAGUCCCCUGUGGACUUGGUGUUGGGGAUCGGCGAGGCUGGUUUUCCAGCACAGCCGUCCCUUAAAUUAAUUGGCGGUCUCGCCGUGGCCCUCCUCUGCGCAGUAGUAAAACACUCGCAACAGGAGCCCGGCGCGGUCCACUGCCGUAAAACCCCCCAACUUUUUAUAGUUGACCUCGAAUCAGGUAGGACUACCCGCUGAACUUAAGCAUAUCAAUAAGCGGAGGA
This 358-nucleotide unclassified non-coding RNA is filed under the name soil metagenome. RNAcentral describes it as "partial contains 5.8S ribosomal RNA, internal transcribed spacer 2, and large subunit ribosomal RNA". The stretch from base 1 to 120 matches the Rfam family "5.8S ribosomal RNA", at positions 35 to 154 of the family's 154-position model. The record is from RNAcentral.